UGACACUUUUUGAAUAGGAAAAAAGUAACCAAUUUAAAACCAGGAAAAGGGCAAAGCUUGAGUUGCAUUGAUGAGAAUUUGGUCUGAGAGUGGGUAAAAGGUAAUACGCUCUUCAUUAAAGGCUGGUACUCCUUUUUUUCUACCUUGGCAUGCCACUGACAUUUCAUCAUAAUUGUGCCCAACUUUUAUUGUUCACAAGUAUAUUAAUAAAC
Molecule: non-coding RNA, 212 nt
Organism: Pelobates cultripes (western spadefoot toad)
Lineage: Eukaryota; Metazoa; Chordata; Amphibia; Anura; Pelobatidae
Source: the annotation of a GenBank genome assembly